Oryza sativa Japonica Group (Japanese rice) is the source of this 5681-nucleotide non-coding RNA. The record is from RefSeq and is a predicted model, not a curated record. Lineage: Eukaryota; Viridiplantae; Streptophyta; Magnoliopsida; Poales; Poaceae.
GAUCAUUUGGUCGGCAUAUGUUUUCCCACUUAGUUAGUCUACAUUUUAUUUUCCGGUCAUCAUUUUUUUUGAAAGGAACACAGCAGGGGAGGCCCCCGCUGUUAAAAUUUUCUGGUCAUCAUUACUCCAAAAAAAAAAACUUCACCUAAAGUAAUCCAAUCUUUGAUGCACACCUCGUGGAAUUUCAAAGAAGGAUAACAUAAACAGGGGAAGACUUGAAAGAACUGAGUUUAGAAGGACUAAUCUCCCAUCGUAUGAUAUGUUUCUGCCUUUCCAUGUGCUGAGUCCCCUCUCAAAUCUAUCUUCAACUCCUUUCCAAUCAACAUUCCGGAGUUUCUGAUAAUGAAUGUGUAUACCAAGAUAUCUAAAGGGGAAUAUCCAGAAUUACAACCAAAUAGUUGUCUAUAUUCAUCCUCCACUUCCUUGGUUUUCCCAAAGCAAGAAAUCUUACUUUUAUGAAAGUUUAUUUUCAGCCCUGAGAGUUGUUCUAACACACACAAGUUGGCCUUCAUGUUUUUGGCUUGUUCAAGGUCAUGUUCUAGAAAAAUUACUGUAUCAUCAGCAUAUUAUUUUUUUUAGAUAAUGGAAUAAAUAUCCCGGUCUUUGCUCAACAGAGCUAAAAAAAUUAUUACAAAGUAUCACUCUAACAAAGAGUGUAGUUCAAAAAGAAUUAAACACACCCAACAAAAUAAAAAGACCAAACCAAGAUAAGGAGUACACAUUUAUUCAAGUCUAUUUGUGAAUCUCCAUCCAUAGUUUGCAAAAAGUUGCAUAACCGUUGUCUCAAGCCUACGACGUGCAACCUUCAUAAGCUCUCUAUCAUCUUCACACUUUUGUAGCUGUGCCCAAAAUCAUCAGCAUAUUAUAGAAUGGACAAACCAUCCUCCACUAAAUAUGGAAUGACUCCUCUAAUUUGAUCAUCGCCUUUAGCGCAAAAAUCUAGUAUUGCCCUUUGUUUCGCACAAAAAUAAUUUUUCGUGUUAAUUGGUUAUAUAUAUGAGGCGGUUGCAUACAUUGGUUUCACUAUAAACCACUAAUGCUCAAGGAUCAUUUGGAAACACUAGAGAAAUUUCUGUUAAAUUUUUACUGGGUUUCCUAUGAAUAAGUUCAAUUCCCACAAGAAUCAGGAAUUCCAUGUUCCAAACUCAUUAUUUGAAGCUUGGGAAACCUCAUGCAACAUUUUGUAGUCCAGGAAACAAGUUAGGUGUUGCACGCAUAUAUGUGCUUCUUGAGAAUGAGUGGUAUCAAGAAGGGAACAGCUGCAGCAAAAUGACGUUGGUGGCUAACCUAGUAGUUUUCGUCAGAGUGAUUAGCACUAAGAUGGUUGCCAUGGAACCUGCCUGAUUCCUGUGCUGUAUUGAAUAAAAAGUUAGUAGAGGCUUGCAGGUGGAAAUGGCGAGGGGUCAGCAGAAGGCAUCAUACACUCAGAGGGUGUUGGAGUACUUGGAGAAUUGUGCAAAUUAACUCAACUGACCAGAGUUAAUUAACAGUACUGUUGAAUGCUAGAAUUGAUAUCUCAUGAAUUAGGACAUGUAGAAGUGCAUCAUCAAUUAAUAGCUAAUAUAUAAGCUGCCAAUUAGACCAACUAGCUGCCGAUGCGCUGGAGGGUGAGGAGAGACAAACAUCCAUGUUAAGUUUAUUAAAAUCAACUCUUAGCGCAACACUUAUAAAAGAAAAUCCCGUUGCAUGAGGGUUGAAAAAGGAAGAAGGAUAAUAACAAAUUGUUUUAGUCGAUUAAUGGUUAGUCUUCAUGGUGUUGAUUACUAUAAGGGCAUUUUCUCUAGAUGAUGUGUACUGUCUAGUAGCCCAUAUAUGACGGGUUCAAUAGUUGUGUUGUCCUUACAAAUUUGUCACUUAUUGAUAGUUCCAUUCCAGGUGACAAAGCUGAGCUCAAAUUGUAGGCUUUAAAUUUAGUUUUACUUUCAUGGGUUUUCUUGCCCGGCUCUCUUUUCAUGGUCAUUAAAAGACAAAAGAAAAACGUUGAAAUUCCAAGGCUAGCUCCAAACCAGCUUAAUUUGAGUUGCAAAAGCACAGUAGUGUCGGUGAAUAAUAGAUGUACUAUUAUUGCUACCUGUACAUGAAUUGCCAGAUGUUGCCUGCCUUCACAUUUAUUUCUUGUUUUAUCUUUCUGUCCUGAUAUCAGCAUGCUUUUCACCAAAAUGCACUACCAGAAAAGCUAUCAGGAGGGAGCUAGACCAUUUUUGAUCUCCUAACACCCUAUUUAACGGUAUUCCCUUCAACACUGAUAGUGUAUAACCGUUGAGAAUUGUUUGUUGCUGCUGCUAGUGAUGCCUCAAGCUACCAUGUAUUAUCUCUACUACUUUGAGAGUUGAAUCGUCGUGUCCUUCUUCCAUCCUCUUCCCUAUCGUGUGUACACAAGGUCCCACUCCUUCAUGUUUCCCUUUAUUCUAAAACCACCCAACUAGCCAAUUCCCAAUCAUAUAGGCUGACCCAUUGCAAAGCACAUAUAUAUUACUAGUAUAUAGAAACAUCUAAAAAUGAGCACCAUCCAUCGUUAUAGUUUGUUUUGGCUUGCAGAAUGGGCAACCUAUACAUUCAGUAGUAAUCAUUUGUUCUACAUACUCUUCUAUUGUAAAAUGGCAUGUACAAACUCCGAUUCUUAGGAUUCCGACUACACUACUACAGGGAUGGAUCGAUGAACGGCAACAUGGGCAUUUGUCAAGGGUUUGUUUCGGAAUGUGUGGCAACAGGAAGUCAAAAUCUUAUCAAUGCAUAGUCAGAGAUAAGUCAGCAAAAUUGUGCGGUCCAAAGAAAAGGACUUUUUUGUGUGCAUGCAAACCCAUGUACAUAUUCCAUGACUCUGCCCUAUCGACGGUGAGUUUUUAAGCUAUGGUACAGCUUCUUGCUGAUCUCCUGAGUAUAGCUCUCGGUGCAUCCACCCAUUGAUCCCUUCGGUAUUAAUUCCUUCAUUUCGUGCAUCAGUUCAUGUGUUUCCCUUUGAUUUUUCAUCGGUGGAAUGAAAACCUUGUCGUAGAUAAUGAAUGGGUGGUCUUCUCAUUACCUGCAAACAAAGGGGUAGGGCCCAUCUCUGUGGACGUUCGAUUUUCAAGCCUCGUCCAGAGAAGACACAACCUUUUUUUCCCAAUCGAGGAUAUAACUGAAAUGGUGCUCUCAUGUCCUAAGACACCAACAAGCAAAAUUAUAUUAUUCCUUCUAUUACACCUUUUUCCAAUUGCACUAAAUUGAAUAAAUUGUUCCCCACAAAAAAAAGAAUAAAUUGUUUCCAACAUAAUUCAUUUGCACCAAAUGGUUCCAUACACUACUGCAGGAAACUAAAUCAGUGUUAAUUUGCACAGGCGUUUAGUGAACCACAGAUAACAUCAUUUCAUGGGAAACCAACUGUCCAUGGAUAUACAUUUCCAGAGACGUGUUGUCUUAGCCGACCGCCUUUAAGAAACAUCUUUACAAGCGGUAUAUUGGGGGUCUAGAGGAGUGAGUUCAUGCGGGGAUUGGUCUUUAAUUCUAGUUCCAUUUUUACUUCUAGUCCCUUGUUUGAUAGUCAUAAUGAGAAAUGAUCAUGGAGAGUGUGAGUUAGAAAUGGAUUUAAAGUGUUAAAAGGGUGGAAGUUUGCUCUCUCCUUGCAAAUCCCUCCUGAAACUCACACACCAGCCACACAAACAUCUUACCUAACAACCCCAACCCUUAAACUCCCAUUUCCUACUAACUGUUCCCACCAACCAAACAUGCCCACAUAUAUACCUCCACUUGGUGCAAGAAUAAAAUAUUUGGAGAGACAUGCGUCUAGAGUGAAUAGUAUGUGGAGAGCUUGAGGAUCUAUAUAUAUAGCGCUACCCACUUUUGAAUAUUAGAGAGGUAUAUACAUAUAGCAUUGUCAUCCGUACUGGUCAUAUAGAUAUGAUUUUUUUAAGACAAACAAAAAAAACAUACAAAUAUAAUGGAAGAAUGGUGAUGAACAUUACAUGAGGCAGUUUUGUAGUCAUGUAUAUGAUUCUUGAGAAUGAGCGUCGUCAGGAAGGCCGACAGCUGCAGGACAAAAAACCAAUGGUAAUCCUAAGAUCUUUUGAUCUGAGGAAUUGAUUUUAGAAAACAUGACUAGAAUGUGCAUCAAAGAUGCAUUUGUUACAGAUGGACUUCACGCAGCUGUCGCAUCAUCCAUAUUUUCCAUGCUGAUGUAUAAUAUAUAGAUAGUUAACCUCAGGUUCAGCAAAUUGCCUGUCAACAUUUUAUCUGUUGCAGUUCAUAUUUUCAUACAACCCAUUUGCCCGAUCACUUUGUAUUCUCAGCAAAGUGAACCAUAUGGUAAAGAUGUGACACCAUGCCUAUUUAGAUAUUUGUUUGUUCAGUCUUGUCCGAAACACAUGAUCUAUUUGCCGGAUCUAAUAUAGUUCAUAUGUAAUAACUACAUGUAUAUUUAGACAAAAAUUCUAUGAUUCAUUGAAUUGUAAAAUGUCAAUGUUUUCCCCAAUUCCAUGGAAAAGCGGAUGAUUGACCUCUUUUGAGAUGCACCACUUACCACUCCAUGUAUAGAUAAAAUCUCAACCGGCGGUUGGAUAGAUGGGGUUUGUUUUGGCCUAAUUCAAAUAACACACAAGCCACAACAACUAAGUUGCUUCCCUAAAACAUAAUUAUUUUCUGGUAACAUAUAAGGUUGAGUAUAAUUUAAUAACAUUUCAUUUUACACAAAUCUGCACGAGAUAUUUGUCUAGGCCAUGAAUAUGUUGACACAUUAAAAAAUAAUACAGGUAGAAAAACAAGUAUUAACAUGGUACACAUAUGAAAACAGAAUGCUUCACAAUUUUGUAACAGUAAACAGGAAAACAUCCCAUUGGUCAUGUUUUAAUAAUUUCAUAUACAAUUAGUUUGAUUCGAGGUAAGUUCUCUUCGAACCAAGCAUGGCACACUUUCUUGUGGAAUGAUGUGCUUUCAAAGUUCAAUGUAACAUUUUAACCAAUAUGGUAUACAUCUGAAAAAGAAAAACCAACAGCUACAUGAAACAAGUGUAGCAUAAAAAAGAACCUCAAUUAAUUAUUAUAUUUUGUCAUGUGUAUUACUCCUUAAAAACACGGUUAUAAUAAUUUAGUUGAGCCUACCAAAGUAGAAACUCCACAUUCACUGCUAGUCGACGUAUAGUAAUAAAAUUGCAUUACUGAUGAAGGAAAUUGCCCGAUGAAUUGUCAGUGAUGGUGUUGAGAGCCCGCUGGCAUCGAUCUACUCCUCACUAGGAUCUUUUAAUAAAAAAAAACUAUAGCAUUCUCUGUUAGACAGGCCCUGUAAGCUUGUUGUGACUGACUACGUACAUCCAAGACUAUGGCAUUGUCUUAAUCUUUGUAGUUUGCCUGUCUGAUCUGCAGUAUCUUGUUUUGCAUCCUGGCAUUCAUGGGUGCAACAGUCUGCGUUGCUAGGUAACCAUAUGCAGUAGGUUUCUCUCAUUUUCUUCACUAGGUUUCGAGCUAUCAAUUACAUUUUGUGAACUUAUCGACACAAUAAUGGAAGAACGGAAUUUAAAGGGUUGUAAUCAUGCCACCAAUAGUUAGGCUCUCUUUGGAAUGUUGGUAUAUUUUUUUUAUUCCGGUAUAGGAAUAAGGUUGCUUGUUCUAAGCAAUAUUCCUAUUACUUGAGGAAAAAAAAUGCAUUUAUUCAUGUGGUGUCACGUAGUUUUGUUUUUCACAGCUGAAAACAUGAAGAUAAUAAAUGGUGAA